This is a long non-coding RNA of Oncorhynchus tshawytscha (Chinook salmon), 659 nucleotides long. NCBI's taxonomy places the organism in Eukaryota, Metazoa, Chordata, Actinopteri, Salmoniformes, Salmonidae. The record is from Ensembl.
UGAACCUGGUGAAAUUCACAUAGUACUUUAACAACUGUUACACAAACAGGGGGUUGGGAUAUGAUUAGAACUAGACAGGUCUGUAGGCAGAACGGUCAGAGGCUUAUAAUGUUGUGGGGGAGCGUCAGAGAUGGCUUUGGGAGUCUUCCAGACUGGCUGGAGGAGGCUGCUCUCUCUUAUCCUGCAAGCUACCCUCAGCCCUACAGGGUGCUGUAUGAGAUGUGGUGCCGGGACCAGAGCCGCUGCAUCACCCCCAGAUAUGUGUACCAUAGCCAAGGCAUCUUCCCUGAGCCAGCCUCCCAGGGCAGAGUGGAGUACCAGGAACUGCUCCCUGAGGAUCUCUGAUCUGAGGAGGUCUGAUAGUGGGACAUAUGUCUUCUAUUUUAUCACCAACCACCCAGUGGAGAAGCCUCCUGGACAGCCUGGAGUAACCCUGCUAGUGGCAGGUCGUUGCUGUAAAUGAGAAUGUGUUCUCAGUCAACUUGUCUGGUAAAAUAACGGUAAAAUUUAAGUUAAAAAACACAUUGGCCACAGACGAAAUUACUUUAAAUCACAUUAUAUCUACCGUAGCUUUGAUUGGACUGAUCAUGUCAACAUUAUACUUUCAAAAUCUUAGCUAGCAAGCUAGAUAAGCAGUCAUCAUCAUGAUUCAAGUCGAC